This 128-nucleotide small nuclear RNA is filed under the name Suricata suricatta (meerkat). RNAcentral's name for it is "U2 spliceosomal RNA (ENSSSUG00005022297.1)". It matches the Rfam family "U2 spliceosomal RNA", at positions 1 to 114 of the family's 192-position model. Rfam says of the family: U2 is a small nuclear RNA (snRNA) component of the spliceosome (involved in pre-mRNA splicing). Complementary binding between U2 snRNA (in an area lying towards the 5' end but 3' to hairpin I) and the branchpoint sequence (BPS) of the intron results the bulging out of an unpaired adenosine, on the BPS, which initiates a nucleophilic attack at the intronic 5' splice site, thus starting the first of two transesterification reactions that mediate splicing. The record is from Rfam by way of RNAcentral. Lineage: Eukaryota; Metazoa; Chordata; Mammalia; Carnivora; Herpestidae.
AUCGCUUCUCGGCCUUUUGGCUAAGAUCAAGUGUAGUAUCUGUUCUUAUCAGAUUAAAAAUGAAUUGGCAAACCCCAGAAAGCUCUUAGAUAUUAAAAUAUCAAAUGAAAAACUUAUUUAGAAGAAUU